Molecule: ribosomal RNA, 253 nt
Filed under: uncultured bacterium
Lineage: Bacteria
Description: partial 16S ribosomal RNA
Rfam family: Bacterial small subunit ribosomal RNA
Source: RNAcentral
UACGGAGGGGGCUAGCGUUGUUCGGAAUUACUGGGCGUAAAGCGCACGUAGGCGGCUUUGUAAGUUAGAGGUGAAAGCCCAGGGCUUAACCCUGGAAUUGCCUUUAAGACUGCAUCGCUAGAAUCGUGGAGAGGUAAGUGGAAUUUCGAGUGUAGAGGUGAAAUUCGUAGAUAUUGGGAAGAACACCGGUGGCGAAGGCGGCUCACUGGCUCAUUUCUGACGCUCAGGCGCGACAGCGUGGGGAUCAAACAGG